Molecule: long non-coding RNA, 689 nt
Organism: Mastomys coucha (southern multimammate mouse)
Lineage: Eukaryota; Metazoa; Chordata; Mammalia; Rodentia; Muridae
Exons: 4
Source: RefSeq, a predicted model, not a curated record
GUCCCUUAAGGCCUGGGGGAAGGCUGGGAGGAGGAGAUACCUACCUGUAGGUGCUAGCCCUUUGGUUUUGCUUUCUCCACUCUGAACAGACCUGUUGGAAUCUCUUUGCUUUGGGGAAAUGGAGGCAAGAGGAAGUGACCAGAAAAAAACGUGUUUUUGAGAAGAGUUCAUGGAUAUGACAUGCCUUGAAAAUGGCUUUCAAGGGUCUGAUUUUUCCAGUACUUCCUUAUGGUUUGAGCCAGCAGGCAUGGCAUUCAGGACACAGGUCUCCUCCUUGCCUAGCAGUGGCCUGCACCCUCUUAUCUUCACGCAGAUCCCUGCUGGUGCCUGAAGCUGUGGAGAUCUGGUGCCUGUUCCUGUCUCCUGUCAUGACUUCUGCUAACCUUGAAGUUACUGGGUAUUGCCACCCCCCACCCCCAUUGCCUGUUCCACCCAGCCAUGAUGGCCUCUCUGAGCCGGUGCUGACUUAAGGGCUCACAAACCCGCCAUGCCAGGCCACAGGCUACGUGUGUCCCACCUUAAGGAGCCCCCAUACCACACAUAGCUGUUGCCCCACAGAUCCUGUCAGUCAGAAGUCCUGCCCCACUCUGCGCUUAUUUUCUUUACCUGGAUUUGUCCUGUCGUCUUCAUGUCAACACCAAUCUGUCUAUGUUAUGUGCUGCUAUAAUAAAUCACCUUAGAGCAGGCAA